AAAAAGACAAAACCUGGUUUUCGUGUCAAACGUUUAACAGUCCUUUUUAUUUGAAAAAAUUAUGAAAAAAAUUAAAAAAAAAUUCACGCAUAAAAUAUUAAUCAUGUUUUAUCAUCUAACAACAAUGAAAAUACGAAUUAUAAAAAAAUUUCAUAUAAGAUGAACAGUUAAAGUUGGACACGUAAACCUAGGGUUUGUCUUUUU
Oryza barthii is the source of this 204-nucleotide non-coding RNA. The record is from Rfam. NCBI's taxonomy places the organism in Eukaryota, Viridiplantae, Streptophyta, Magnoliopsida, Poales, Poaceae.